AGAACUUAGCAGAGAUGCUUUGGUGCCUUCGGGAACUCUGAGACAGGUGCUGCAUGGCUGUCGUCAGCUCGUGUUGUGAAAUGUUGGGUUAAGUCCCGCAACGAGCGCAACCCUUAUCCUUUGUUGCCAGCGGCUCGGCCGGGAACUCAAAGGAGACUGCCGGUGAUAAACCGGAGGAAGGUGGGGAUGACGUCAAGUCAUCAUGGCCCUUACGGCCAGGGCUACACACGUGCUACAAUGGCGCAUACAAAGAGAAGCGACCUCGCGAGAGCAAGCGGACCUCAUAAAGUGCGUCGUAGUCCGGAUUGGAGUCUGCAGCUCGACUCCAUGAAGUCGGAAUCGCUAGUAAUCGUAGAUCAGAAUGCUACGGUGAAUACGUUCCCGGGCCUUGUACACACCGCCCGUCACACCAUGGGAGUGGGUUGCAAAAGAAGUAGGUAGCUUAACCUUCGGGAGGGCGCUUACCACUUUGUGAUUCAUGACUGGGGUGAAGUCGUAACAAGGUAGGCGUAGCGAG
RNAcentral lists this ribosomal RNA (517 nucleotides) under uncultured bacterium. RNAcentral's name for it is "bacterial SSU rRNA". It matches the Rfam family "Bacterial small subunit ribosomal RNA", at positions 992 to 1509 of the family's 1533-position model. The record is from RNAcentral.